This 872-nucleotide ribosomal RNA is filed under the name uncultured bacterium. RNAcentral describes it as "bacterial SSU rRNA". It matches the Rfam family "Bacterial small subunit ribosomal RNA", at positions 9 to 916 of the family's 1533-position model. The record is from RNAcentral.
GAGUUUGAUCCUGGCUCAGAGUGAACGCUAGUGGCGUGCUUAACACAUGCAAGUCGAACGGAUUCUAUUUGUGCUUGCAUAAAUAGAAUUAGUGGCAAACGGGUGAGUAAUACAUGGGAAUUUUCCUUGUAGUAUGGAAUAACUAUUGGAAACAGUAGCUAAUACCAUAUAUUGCCGAGAGGUGAAAGAUUUAUCGCUACAAGAUAAGCCCAUGCAAGAUUAGCUUGUUGGUAAGGUAAUGGCUUACCAAGGCUGCGAUCUUUAGCUGGUUUGAGAGGAUGAUCAGCCACACUGGAACUUAGACACGGUCCAGACUCCUACGGGAGGCAGCAGUGGGGAAUAUUGGACAAUGGGCGAAAGCCUGAUCCAGCGACGUCACGUGAAUGAUGAAGACCUUAGGGUUGUAAAAUUCUUUUAGUGGAGAAGAUAAUGACGGUAUCCACAGAAAAAGUCCCGGCUAACUUCGUGCCAGCAGCCGCGGUAAUACGAAGGGGGCAGGCGUUACUCGGAAUUAUUGGGCGUAAAGCGUGCGUAGGCGGCUUUAUAAGUUGGAAGUGAAAGCCUUUGGCUCAACCAAAGAAUUGCUUACAAAACUGUAAAGCUAGAGUAUUAGAGAGGAUAGAAGAAUUUCUGAUGUAGGGGUGAAAUCCGUAGAUAUCAGAAAGAAUAUCGAAGGCGAAAGCAUCUGUCUGGCUAAAUACUGACGCUGUUGCACGAAAGCGUGGGGAGCAAACAGGAUUAGAUACCCUGGUAGUCCACGCAGUAAACGAUGAGUGCUAGAUGUUAGAACUAUGUUUUAGCGUCGAAGCUAACGCAUUAAGCACUCCGCCUGGGAACUACGAUCGCAAGGUUAAAACUCAAAGGAAUGACGG